Molecule: long non-coding RNA, 86 nt
Organism: Melitaea cinxia (Glanville fritillary)
Lineage: Eukaryota; Metazoa; Arthropoda; Insecta; Lepidoptera; Nymphalidae
Exons: 2
Source: RefSeq, a predicted model, not a curated record
UUUUUUCCCGAUUUUAGCAAAAAAGGCUUCUUUUAUCAGAACAAUUGGUCGCUGGAAAUGGCUUCAUCCGUCAGCGUUGAUGCUAA